GGAUGUGAGGGUGAUCUGGCUGCAACAUCUGUCACCCCACUGAUCGCCAGGAUUGAUUCGGCUGAUCUGGCUGGCUAGGCAGGUAUCCCCUCCCUCCCUCAAUGCUCCAUGUGUGUCCCUCCCAGAGCUGCAAACUCGGUCAAAGAGGAUGACCACCCCCGAUAGAGGAGAACCAUUUCUCAGUCAAGGGUAUACAAGUAGCUGUGCUCCCCUGCUAGAGCCACUUUUGUCUUAAAGAUUUUAUAAUUCCCCCUUUGAUUUCUUCUUCAACCCACUGGUUAUGUUGUUUGAA
Molecule: small nuclear RNA, 292 nt
Filed under: Chinchilla lanigera (long-tailed chinchilla)
Lineage: Eukaryota; Metazoa; Chordata; Mammalia; Rodentia; Chinchillidae
Description: 7SK RNA (ENSCLAG00000021566.1)
Rfam family: 7SK RNA
About the family: 7SK was discovered as an abundant small nuclear RNA in the mid-70s but a possible function has only recently been suggested. Two independent studies have found that 7SK RNA binds the CDK9/cyclin T complex (known as elongation factor P-TEFb). P-TEFb activates transcription by phosphorylating the C-terminal domain of RNA polymerase II.
Source: Rfam by way of RNAcentral